RNAcentral lists this ribosomal RNA (614 nucleotides) under uncultured bacterium. RNAcentral's name for it is "bacterial SSU rRNA". It matches the Rfam family "Bacterial small subunit ribosomal RNA", at positions 338 to 948 of the family's 1533-position model. The record is from RNAcentral.
CCUACGGGAGGCAGCAGUAAGGAAUAUUGGUCAAUGGAGGCAACUCUGAACCAGCCAUGCCGCGUGCAGGAAGACGGCCCUAUGGGUUGUAAACUGCUUUUGAACUAGAGAAAACCUUGGUACGUGUACCGAGUUGAUAGUAUAGUUAGAAUAAGCAUCGGCUAACUUCGUGCCAGCAGCCGCGGUAAGACGAAGGAUGCAAGCGUUAUCCGGAUUCAUUGGGUUUAAAGGGUGCGUAGGCGGACUGAUAAGUCAGUGGUGAAAUCUCUCAGCUUAACUGAGAAACUGCCAUUGAUACUGUUAGUCUAGAGUACAGAUGAUGUGGGCGGAAUAUGGCAUGUAGUGGUGAAAUACUUAGAUAUGUCAUAGAACACCGAUUGCGAAGGCAGCUCACAAAACUGUAACUGACGCUGAGGCACGAAAGUGCGGGGAUCAAACAGGAUUAGAUACCCUGGUAGUCCGCACCGUAAACGAUGAUUACUCGUUGUUGGCGAUAUGACAGUCAGCGACCAAGCGAAAGCGAUAAGUUAAUUCACCUUGGGGAGUAGCCGGCACGGUGAACGUUCAAUUGAAUUGACGGCUUGGNGAGNGCGAGGACGACACGAGGAGGUAGG